RNAcentral lists this ribosomal RNA (2079 nucleotides) under Aeromonas salmonicida. RNAcentral's name for it is "partial 23S ribosomal RNA". It matches the Rfam family "Bacterial large subunit ribosomal RNA", at positions 802 to 2860 of the family's 2925-position model. Lineage: Bacteria; Pseudomonadati; Pseudomonadota; Gammaproteobacteria; Aeromonadales; Aeromonadaceae. The record is from RNAcentral.
GGGAUGACCUGUGGCUGGGGGUGAAAGGCCAAUCAAACUCGGAGAUAGCUGGUUCUCCCCGAAAGCUAUUUAGGUAGCGCCUCGGACGAAUACUACUGGGGGUAGAGCACUGUUUGGACUAGGGGGUCAUCCCGACUUACCAACUCCAUGCAAACUCCGAAUACCAGUAAGUAAUAUCCGGGAGACACACGGCGGGUGCUAACGUCCGUCGUGAAGAGGGAAACAACCCAGACCGCCGGCUAAGGUCCCAAAGUUCUGGUUAAGUGGGAAACGAUGUGGGAAGGCUCAGACAGCUAGGAUGUUGGCUUAGAAGCAGCCAUCAUUUAAAGAAAGCGUAAUAGCUCACUAGUCGAGUCGGCCUGCGCGGAAGAUGUAACGGGGCUCAAACCAGGCACCGAAGCCGCGGAUUCAYACUUAUGURUGAGUGGUAGGGGAGCGUUCUGUAAGUCUGCGAAGGUGUAUCGAGAGGUAUGCUGGAGAUAUCAGAAGUGCGAAUGCUGACGUAAGUAACGAUAAAGGGGGUGAAAAGCCUCCUCGCCGGAAGACCAAGGGUUCCUGUCCAACGUUAAUCGGGGCAGGGUGAGUCGACCCCUAAGGUGAGGCCGAAAGGCGUAAUCGAUGGGAAGCAGGUUAAUAUUCCUGCACGACUUGUAAUUGCGAUGGGGGGACGGAGAAGGCUAGGUGGGCCAGGCGACGGUUGUCCUGGUGAAAGUGCGUAGGUGGUGUUUCUAGGCAAAUCCGGAGACACAACACUGAGACACGAGACGAASSCACUACGGUGSKGAAGCCAUUGAUGCCCUGCUUCCAGGAAAAGCCUCUAAGCUUCAGAUUACAAGUCAUCGUACCCCAAACCGACACAGGUGGUCGGGUAGAGAAUACCAAGGCGCUUGAGAGAACUCGGGUGAAGGAACUAGGCAAAAUAGAACCGUAACUUCGGGAGAAGGUUCGCUCUUGACAGUGAAGUCCCUUGCGGAUGGAGCAGUUGGGAGUCGCAGUGACCAGAUGGCUGGGACUGUUUAUCAAAAACACAGCACUCUGCAAACACGAAAGUGGACGUAUAGGGUGUGACACCUGCCCGGUGCCGGAAGGUUAAUUGAUGGGGUUAGCGCAAGCGAAGCUCUUGAUCGAAGCCCCGGUAAACGGCGGCCGUAACUAUAACGGUCCUAAGGUAGCGAAAUUCCUUGUCGGGUAAGUUCCGACCUGCACGAAUGGUGUAACCAUGGCCAUGCUGUCUCCACCCGAGACUCAGUGAAAUCGAAUUCGCCGUGAAGAUGCGGUGUACCCGCGGCUAGACGGAAAGACCCCGUGAACCUUUACUACAGCUUGGCACUGAACAUUGAAYCUACAUGUGUAGGAUAGGUGGGAGGCUUUGAAGGCGUGACGCCAGUUGCGCUGGAGCCGUCCUUGAAAUACCACCCUUGUAUGUUUGAUGUUCUAACGCAGGGCCCUGAAUCGGGCUCGCGGACAGUGCCUGGUGGGUAGUUUGACUGGGGCGGUCUCCUCCCAAAGAGUAACGGAGGAGCACGAAGGUUGGCUAAUCCUGGUCGGACAUCAGGAGGUUAGUGCAAUGGCAUAAGCCAGCUUAACUGCGAGACGGACAGGUCGAGCAGGUACGAAAGUAGGUCAUAGUGAUCCGGUGGUUCUGAAUGGAAGGGCCAUCGCUCAACGGAUAAAAGGUACUCCGGGGAUAACAGGCUGAUACCGCCCAAGAGUUCAUAUCGACGGCGGUGUUUGGCACCUCGAUGUCGGCUCAUCACAUCCUGGGGCUGAAGUCGGUCCCAAGGGUAUGGCUGUUCGCCAUUUAAAGUGGUACGCGAGCUGGGUUCAGAACGUCGUGAGACAGUUCGGUCCCUAUCUGCCGUGGGCGUUGGAUGAUUGAAGGGAGUUGCUCCUAGUACGAGAGGACCGGAGUGAACGAACCUCUGGUGUUCGGGUUGUCACGCCAGUGGCACUGCCCGGUAGCUAAGUUCGGAAUCGAUAACCGCUGAAAGCAUCUAAGCGGGAAGCGAGCCCUGAGAUGAGUCAUCCCUGACCCCUUGAGGGUCCUAAAGGGCCGUUGGAGACCACAACGUUGAUAGG